Molecule: ribosomal RNA, 1208 nt
Filed under: Microbacterium sp.
Lineage: Bacteria; Bacillati; Actinomycetota; Actinomycetes; Micrococcales; Microbacteriaceae
Description: bacterial SSU rRNA
Rfam family: Bacterial small subunit ribosomal RNA
Source: RNAcentral
CUUUCAGCUGUUGGGGAGGUAAUGCUCACCCAAGGCGUCGACCGGUAGCCGACCGGGGAGGUGACCGGCCAAACCGGGACUGAGACACGGCCCAGACUCCUACGGGAGGCAGCAGUGGGGAAUAUUGCACAAUGGGCGAAAGCCCGAUGCAGCAACGCCGCGUGAGGGACGACGGCCUUCGGGUUGUAAACCUCUUCUAGCAGGGAAGAAGCGAAAGUGACGGUACCUGCAGAACAAGCGCCGGCUAACUACGUGCCAGCAGCCGCGGUAAUACGUAGGGCGCAAGCGUUAUCCGGAAUUAUUGGGCGUAAAGAGCUCGUAGGCGGUUUGUCGCGUCUGCUGUGAAAACUGGAGGCUCAACCUCCAGCCUGCAGUGGGUACGGGCAGACUAGAGUGCGGUAGGGGAGAUUGGAAUUCCUGGUGUAGCGGUGGAAUGCGCAGAUAUCAGGAGGAACACCGAUGGCGAAGGCAGAUCUCUGGGCCGUAACUGACGCUGAGGAGCGAAAGGGUGGGGAGCAAACAGGCUUAGAUACCCUGGUAGUCCACCCCGUAAACGUUGGGAACUAGUUGUGGGGUCCAUUCCACGGAUUCCGUGACGCAGCUAACGCAUUAAGUUCCCCGCCUGGGGAGUACGGCCGCAAGGCUAAAACUCAAAGGAAUUGACGGGGACCCGCACAAGCGGCGGAGCAUGCGGAUUAAUUCGAUGCAACGCGAAGAACCUUACCAAGGCUUGACAUAUACGAGAACGGGCUAGAAAUAGUCAACUCUUUGGACACUCGUAAACAGGUGGUGCAUGGUUGUCGUCAGCUCGUGUCGUGAGAUGUUGGGUUAAGUCCCGCAACGAGCGCAACCCUCGUUCUAUGUUGCCAGCACGUAAUGGUGGGAACUCAUGGGAUACUGCCGGGGUCAACUCGGAGGAAGGUGGGGAUGACGUCAAAUCAUCAUGCCCCUUAUGUCUUGGGCUUCACGCAUGCUACAAUGGCCGGUACAAAGGGCUGCAAUACCGUAAGGUGGAGCGAAUCCCAAAAAGCCGGUCCCAGUUCGGAUUGAGGUCUGCAACUCGACCUCAUGAAGUCGGAGUCGCUAGUAAUCGCAGAUCAGCAACGCUGCGGUGAAUACGUUCCCGGGUCUUGUACACACCGCCCGUCAAGUCAUGAAAGUCGGUAACACCUGAAGCCGGUGGCCCAACUCCUUGUGGAGCGUGAGCA